Molecule: unclassified non-coding RNA, 329 nt
Filed under: soil metagenome
Description: partial contains 5.8S ribosomal RNA, internal transcribed spacer 2, and large subunit ribosomal RNA
Rfam family: 5.8S ribosomal RNA (bases 1-120)
Source: RNAcentral
GAUGAAGAACGCAACGAAAUGCGAUAAGUAAUGUGAAUUGCAGAAUUCAGUGAAUCAUCGAAUCUUUGAACGCACAUUGCGCCCCCUGGUAUUCCGGGGGGCAUGCCUGUCCGAGCGUCAUUACAACCCUCAAGCUCAGCUUGGUGUUGGGCCCCGCCGCCCCGGCGGGCCCUAAAGUCAGUGGCGGUGCCGUCCGGCUCCGAGCGUAGUAAUUCUUCUCGCUCUGGAGGUCCGGUCGUGUGCUCGCCAGCAACCCCCAAUUUUUUUCAGGUUGACCUCGGAUCAGGUAGGGAUACCCGCUGAACUUAAGCAUAUCAAUAAGCGGAGGA